RNAcentral lists this ribosomal RNA (305 nucleotides) under uncultured bacterium. RNAcentral describes it as "bacterial SSU rRNA". It matches the Rfam family "Bacterial small subunit ribosomal RNA", at positions 335 to 637 of the family's 1533-position model. The record is from RNAcentral.
UUACCUACGGGACGCAGCAGUGGGGAAUAUUGCACAAUGGGCGCAAGCCUGAACCAGCCAAGUCGCGUGAGGGAGGACGGCCCUACGGGUUGUAAACCUCUUUUGCCGGGGAGCAACGGGCGUCACGUGUGGCGCCACUGAGAGUACCCGGAGAAAAAGCAUCGGCUAACUCCGUGCCAGCAGCCGCGGUAAUACGUAGGAUGCGAGCGUUAUCCGGAUUUAUUGGGUUUAAAGGGUGCGUAGGCGGAUCGUUAAGUCAGUGGUCAAAUUGAGGGGCUCAACCCCUUCCCGCCAUUGAAACUGGG